GGCGGCGUAGCUCAGCCCGGUAGAGCAGGGGACUCAUAAGCCCUUGGUCGGGGGUUCAAAUCCCUCCGCCGCUACCA
RNAcentral lists this transfer RNA (77 nucleotides) under Planctomycetota bacterium. RNAcentral's name for it is "tRNA-Met". It matches the Rfam family "tRNA". Rfam says of the family: Transfer RNA (tRNA) molecules are approximately 80 nucleotides in length. Their secondary structure includes four short double-helical elements and three loops (D, anti-codon, and T loops). Further hydrogen bonds mediate the characteristic L-shaped molecular structure. tRNAs have two regions of fundamental functional importance: the anti-codon, which is responsible for specific mRNA codon recognition, and the 3' end, to which the tRNAs corresponding amino acid is attached (by aminoacyl-tRNA synthetases). tRNAs cope with the degeneracy of the genetic code in two manners: having more than one tRNA (with a specific anti-codon) for a particular amino acid; and 'wobble' base-pairing, i.e. permitting non-standard base-pairing at the 3rd anti-codon position. The record is from RNAcentral. Lineage: Bacteria; Pseudomonadati; Planctomycetota.